CGUUCUUGAUUUAAGCUUAAAAAUUCUUAAAAAGUCAAUUUUUGCUGAGAGCGAGAGCAAUCUCUCUCUCGUUUGAUCUCUCUCGUAGUCUUCGGUAUUCUUGGGAACUCCAAGUAUUUGGAGAGGCAUGCGAAAGAAAGAGAUAGCAAGUUCAAUAGUGCGCAGUUAUCUUAAAUUUUCGGUAAAAUGUACCAUGCCAUGCUCGGUGCGUACAUUUUAGCAAUUGAGUCGAGAACGUCGAGAGAGCAACAGUGAAAAGUUUCAACAGUGAACGUGAAAGUGAAAAUGUGUAAAACUCCGGAUAGGUUGCUAAACCUGCUGAAAGAGUUUCAACUUGAAAAAGUGCACGACUAUCUAAUCGAUUGAAAUUGACUUUCAAAUGCUCUAUCCUGGCAAAGGUCAUUUGCUUUUGUCGAAGUGGGAAGAAUUCAAAGUCAACAUUUUGACUCAUUACUCAACCCACCUUCGUAACGACUUUUAUAAACAACAACUGGCAGUAGCAAAGUCGUCUACAAAUAAAGAUCUCCAAGACUUCCUUGUAUCGAUAUUAUUAAAAAAACUGACGAUUGCGGAUUCCCAGGAGUCUUUCGUACUUCAAAUAGAGACCCUGAACAAUAUACGCCCUAAGAUAGACGAACUAGUGAAUAAGUUCUAUUUAAAAAAAGAAUCCUUGCAGCCAUUUCUUAGCCUAUAACUAAACUAAAAAAUAAAACCAUUUCAAAAUAAAAUGUAUAUACCAAAAA
Drosophila rhopaloa is the source of this 743-nucleotide long non-coding RNA. RefSeq lists it as uncharacterized. The transcript has 3 exons. The record is from RefSeq and is a predicted model, not a curated record. Lineage: Eukaryota; Metazoa; Arthropoda; Insecta; Diptera; Drosophilidae.